GCCAUUGACCUUGCCUCAAAAUUCCAUUGGGAGACUCUGUGGCGACGUCCGACCCGAAAACUGCCCAGUCGGGUCUAUUUUUCCAGACAUACUCUGUUUUCCGUGAUCUUUGCAGGGCUUGACGGGUCAACCCGAUAGCUUUGGAACCAAACAACCACCACAUUCACCUCUGGGGGGUUGUACGUGUCGACCCGAGUCUCUUUUCUCAAAACGACCACCAUAGCCACCUCCGAGGGUCAGUUAAGAGUCGGGGGCCGUUGACCUUGCCUCAAAAUUCUAUCGGGAGCCUCCGUGGUGACGUCAAACCCGACUUGUGCCAGUCGGGUCUGUUCAACGAAAAACAGCCCAAACUCGACCCAACAGAGGUCCAACCUGACUUUUUACAGUCCCAUCCUGCAUCUCGGGACUAGGUGUGACCAUUCCUGACUUAAAAGAGCUAGGACUUUUACAUUUUCAUUGUGUUUACGGAGUUAUAAGUUGGUUUUAUGCAUGUUUUACUUCCAAGUUUUAAUUUUUAUGCAA
This is a non-coding RNA of Punica granatum (pomegranate), 522 nucleotides long. Lineage: Eukaryota; Viridiplantae; Streptophyta; Magnoliopsida; Myrtales; Lythraceae. The record is from RefSeq and is a predicted model, not a curated record.